Non-coding RNA from Cicer arietinum (chickpea), 1531 nucleotides. Lineage: Eukaryota; Viridiplantae; Streptophyta; Magnoliopsida; Fabales; Fabaceae. The record is from RefSeq and is a predicted model, not a curated record.
UACCAUUUUUCGCGUAGUGUGAAUUGGAUGUGUGGGAAUGUAUAUAGAGAGCGCGCACAAUCAAAUCCAAAUGAAUGGUAAAGAAAGGGGUCUGGUCACUCCCAAUAGAGGAUUGAAGUAGGGUGACCCUUUAUUGCCUUAUCUCUUCAUCAUUUAUGCAAAAGGAUUAACACUUUUUUAAAAGUAGUUGGAGGCGAUGGGUGAAAUCCAUGGGAUUAAAGUGUGUCGAGGAUCUCCAAUCUUGACACACUUUUUGUUUGUUGACGACUACUUUCUCUUUUUUAGGGUCGAUGAUUGUGAAAUUAUGCAUUUUCAUAAUGCUUUACGCAUUUAUGAGCACACAUAUGAUCAAUCUAUUAACAUGGAGAAAUCAGAUAUCUUUGUCAAUACAAACACUUCGGUGAUUGUAAGAGAUAUGGUGAAGACAAUUUUUCAGGUGACGAAGGUUAUUGACCCUGGAAAGUGUCUUGGCUUACCUUCAAUGGUGGGCAGAAAAAGAAAACCGUAUUCAGCUGCCUAUGAUAGAGUGUUUGGAAGAGAGUUCAAAGUGUGACCGAAAAACAUCUUUCAGAACUGGGGCGCGAGGUGCUGCUUAAAUCGAUGGUUCAAUCAAUUCCGACCUAUUGCAUGAGUGUCUUUAUCCUCCCAACCACACUUGGGGAAGAGAUUCAGAAAAUGAUAAACUGUUUUUGGUGGGACUCAAAUAGAAACAAUGGUUGCGGUGGCAAUUGGUUGAAUUGGGAUCUGUUGGCCAUGAGGAAGGAAUACAAAUAUAUGGAGUUUAUACAUAUUUAUGGCUUUAAUUGGGAUAUGUUAGGGAAGUAGGGAUGGAAGCUUGCAACCAACCAUGAAACUAUAGUUACAUAUAUCAUCUGGAGGGGACUUUUUUAGAGGGUCGACUAGGCCACAAUCCAAGUUUCAUAUGGCGUAGUAUCACACUUCACAUGUAGUAAUCAUAGUAGGCAUGAGAUGGCGCGUUGUGGAUGGUAACAAAAUAAAUGUGUGGUGUGAACCUUGGCUACAUGACUUAAAGAAUUGCUUUAUCACAACUAUCAUGAAACUGGGCUUGGAACACAUGAAAGUGGGUGACUUGAUAAACCAACAGAUCGGUGGUUAGAGAAAUGUUUGAUUUGAAGUGGAGAAGAUAAUAUAGUCCACAUAGACCAAAAAAUAACAAAAGGAAAACAUGUUCCUUUGACGAACAAAGAUGAGUCUAUUGUACUUAAGGUAAAAUCAUGUUGAAUGAUAAUACUAUAAAACUUGUUGGACCAUUUGUCUUUGGCCUUUUCUUCAACCAUGCAAUGACUUGUGAAGCUUACAAACCAUAUUAUUAGCUAGUCUUCCCAUCCUUUGGAUAACCCAAAGGCAAAUGCAUAUAGGCAUCUUUUUCUAAGUCUCCGUUCAAAAAUGCAUUGUUUAUAUGUAUCAAGUUGUAACAUAGACCAAUAUUGUUGAAGCUGCCAAAGUGAGAAAAUCACGAAUCUUGUAAGUUUGGCUAUGAAUACACACAAAAACCUUAAGAUGAUGGUAA